GGCGCCGUAGCCAAGUGGUAAGGCAGAGGUCUGCAAAACCUCCAUCAUCGGUUCGACUCCGAUCGGCGCCUCCA
This 74-nucleotide transfer RNA is filed under the name Acidobacteriota bacterium. Its description in RNAcentral is "Acidobacteria bacterium (stromatolite metagenome) tRNA-Cys". It matches the Rfam family "tRNA". Rfam says of the family: Transfer RNA (tRNA) molecules are approximately 80 nucleotides in length. Their secondary structure includes four short double-helical elements and three loops (D, anti-codon, and T loops). Lineage: Bacteria; Pseudomonadati; Acidobacteriota. The record is from RNAcentral.